UGUUUCAGACUUAAUGCCUGGGAA
This 24-nucleotide non-coding RNA is filed under the name Arabidopsis thaliana (thale cress). The record is from RNAcentral. Lineage: Eukaryota; Viridiplantae; Streptophyta; Magnoliopsida; Brassicales; Brassicaceae.